This 1489-nucleotide unclassified non-coding RNA is filed under the name Actinia tenebrosa (Australian red waratah sea anemone). Lineage: Eukaryota; Metazoa; Cnidaria; Anthozoa; Actiniaria; Actiniidae. The record is from RNAcentral.
ACCAAUUCCAAGAUGGCGGAAAACACGGAGUCGGAAAAGGCAGAGAAACGUGGAUCAAAAAGACCUUUAGUAGAAGAUUACAGCGAUGAUGAUGACGAAGAAGAGAAAAAGAGAGUUAUAGAAAAGAAGGAAUAUCAGAGUAGACAUUGUCCUUACCUGGAUACUAUUAACAGACAUGUUCUUGACUUUGACUUUGAGAAGCUAUGCUCAAUAUCCUUAUCACAUAUCAAUGUCUAUGCAUGUUUGGUCUGUGGAAGGUAUUUUCAAGGUCGUGGACGGCACUCCCAUGCAUAUACUCACAGUGUUCUGGUGGAUCACCAUGUUUUUCUUAAUCUGCAUUCACUAAAGUUCUACUGUCUGCCUGAUAAUUACGAAGUAAUUGAUUCUUCCUUGGAUGAUAUCAAGUAUGUACUGAAUCCAACAUUCACAGAAGAAGACAUCAAACAAAUGGAUUCAUCAGCCAAGUUAUCCAGAGCCUUUGAUGGCACUACAUAUCUACCUGGUAUUGUUGGCUUGAAUAAUAUCAAAGCCAAUGACUAUCUAAAUGUUGUUCUCCAAGCUUUUGCUUUUGUUCCACCAAUCCGAAACUUCUUUUUGAGAGAAGAAAACUACAAAGAUAUCAAGAGACCUCCUGGAGAUAUCAUGUUUCAACUAGUUCAAAGAUAUGGAGAGUUGAUAAGAAAAAUAUGGAAUCCAAGAAACUUCAAGGCACAUGUUAGUCCUCAUGAAAUGCUUCAGGCUGUUGUUUUGUGCAGCAAGAAGAGAUUCCAGUUUACUGAGCAAGGUGAUCCUGUUGACUUCCUUUCAUGGUUUCUAAAUGCACUACACACAACACUAGGAGGAUCCUUGAAAAAGACAAACAGUGUGAUAUUUAAGUCAUUUCAAGGCCGGAUGAAAAUAUUUUCCAGAAAAGUUCCACAAACAGAGAAUGAAGAAGAGAAGGCUAAACAAAUGGGUGAAGAGGAAUAUCAGGAGAAAGUUACAGAAUCACCAUUUCUGUAUCUGAACUUGGAUAUACCAGCUUCUCCUCUUUUUAAGGAUGAACUGCAACAGAACAUUAUUCCUCAGAUUUCCAUUUUUUCACUUUUGUCCAAGUUUGAUGGAACAACUGAAAAGGAAUAUAAAACCUACAAAGAAUUAUUCAUCAAGAAGUUUGAGAUUACAAAACUUCCUCAGUACCUAAUCACUUGCUUUAGGAGAUUUGCAAAGAACACUUUUUUUACUGAGAAAAAUCCAACAGUUGUAAACUUUCCAGUCAAGUAAGUGGUGAAUGAAUGUUGAGUUUACCUACUGCUGCCUGCACCUCUGUAUUUCUUGGGUGUAAAUUUUGGAUCAAAAUUUACUAACAAGGAGCCUUGAUCUAGCCGAGUAUUUAUCCACUGAUCCUAAGAUCCAGGAUGCUCAUCCACACACUACAUAUGACCUUGUUGCCAACAUCUGCCAUGAAGGAGAGCCAGAGGGUGGAACAUAUCGACUGUUUGUCCUGCAC